UAGGGAAUCUUCGGCAAUGGACGGAAGUCUGACCGAGCAACGCCGCGUGAGUGAAGAAGGUUUUCGGAUCGUAAAGCUCUGUUGUUAGAGAAGAACGUUGGUAGGAGUGGAAAAUCUACCAAGUGACGGUAACUAACCAGAAAGGGACGGCUAACUACGUGCCAGCAGCCGCGGUAAUACGUAGGUCCCGAGCGUUGUCCGGAUUUAUUAGGCGUAAAGCGAGCGCAGGCGGUUCUUUAAGUCUGAAGUUAAAGGCAGUGGCUUAACCAUUGUACGCUUUGGAAACUGGAGUACUUGAGUGCAGAAGGGGUGAGUGGAAUUCCAUGUGUAGCUGUGAAAUGCGUAGAUAUAUGGAGGAACACCGGUGGCGAAAGCUGCUCUCUGGUCUGUAACUGACGCUGAGGCUCGAAAGCGUGGGGAGCAAACAGG
RNAcentral lists this ribosomal RNA (429 nucleotides) under Bacillota bacterium. Its description in RNAcentral is "Firmicutes bacterium partial 16S ribosomal RNA". It matches the Rfam family "Bacterial small subunit ribosomal RNA", at positions 355 to 776 of the family's 1533-position model. The record is from RNAcentral. Lineage: Bacteria; Bacillati; Bacillota.